This is an unclassified non-coding RNA of Myotis lucifugus (little brown bat), 332 nucleotides long. Its record names the gene 7SK. It matches the Rfam family "7SK RNA". From Rfam's summary of the family: 7SK was discovered as an abundant small nuclear RNA in the mid-70s but a possible function has only recently been suggested. Two independent studies have found that 7SK RNA binds the CDK9/cyclin T complex (known as elongation factor P-TEFb). The record is from Ensembl. NCBI's taxonomy places the organism in Eukaryota, Metazoa, Chordata, Mammalia, Chiroptera, Vespertilionidae.
GGAUGUGAGGGUGAUCUGGCUGCGACAUCUGUCACCCCAUUGAUCGCCAGGGUUGAUUCGGCUGACCUGGCUGGCUAGGCGGGUGUCCCCCUCCUCCCUCACCGAUCCAUGUGCGUCCCUCCCGAAGCUGCGCGCUCGGUCGAAGAGGACGACCUUCCCCCCAGAGGAGAGGACCGGUCUUCGGUCAAGGGUAUACGAGUAGCUGAGCUCCCCUGCUAGAACCUCCAAACAAGCUCUCAAGGUCCAUUUGUAGGAGAACGUAGGGUAGUCAAGCUUCCAAGACUCCAGACACAUCCAAAUGAGGCGCUGCACGUGGCAGUCUGCCUUCCUUU